CAGCAGUAGCCGCGGGAACACGUAGGUGGCAAGCGUUGUCCGGAAUUAUUGGGCGUAAAGCGCGCGUAGGCGGUUUUUUGAGUCUGAUGUGAAAGCCCACGGCUCAACCGUGGAGGGUCAUUGGAAACUGGAAAGCUUGAGUGCAGAAGAGGAAAGUGGAAUUCCAUGUGUAGCGGUGAAAUGCGCAGAGAUAUGGAGGAACACCAGUGGCGAAGGCGACUUUCUGGUCUGUAACUGACGCUGAUGUGCGAAAGCGUGGGGAUCAAACAGGAUUAGAUACCCGUGUAGUCCCUGUCUCUUAUAC
Molecule: ribosomal RNA, 304 nt
Filed under: uncultured bacterium
Lineage: Bacteria
Description: partial 16S ribosomal RNA
Rfam family: Bacterial small subunit ribosomal RNA
Source: RNAcentral